This 5344-nucleotide long non-coding RNA is filed under the name Sus scrofa (pig). RNAcentral's name for it is "lncRNA (ENSSSCG00000057808.1)". Lineage: Eukaryota; Metazoa; Chordata; Mammalia; Artiodactyla; Suidae. The record is from RNAcentral.
CCUGGACUCCUUGCUUGGUACCCUGCAAUAAAUGCUGUACUUUUCUUCACUAAAAACCCUUUGUCAGUAUAUUGGUUUUACUUUGUGCAGGACCCAAGUUUGGUUCAGUAACAACUUGAGGGUAUUGACCCUGGGAUUUUUUCGUUUGUUUGUUUCUUUGUAGGGCCACACCCACAGUAUAUGGACAGUCUCAGGCUAGGGACUGAAUCAGAGCUACAGCUGCUGGCCUACAUCACAGCCAUAGCAAUGCAGGAUCUGAGCUGCAACUGCGACAUACACAACAGCUCAUGGCAACACCAGAUCCUUAACCCACUGAGUGAGGCCAGGGAUCGAACCCACAACCUCAUGGAUCCUAGUUGGGUUCAUUAACCACUGGGCCAUGAAGGGACCCACUGUGAUUUUUUUUUUUUCUUUUUCUUUUUUUGGAUAAAGAAGAUGCAGGCUCUCAGAUUUUGUUGUACCUGGAAAUGCCUUUAAAAGGGAAAAUAAAAGCAGUUAAGUGGCUAGAAGAACUGUAACAAUUAUAAAUCCCAGGCAAUGUACUUACAGAACAAUGAAAACAAUCUGGCAGCAAGCUGAUAAAUUUAAUCAAUUAAGAAAAUAAAACUUGAUUAGUCAGUGAGUGCAAUGAAAAGUGUACAGUGUAGGUGUGAGGUGCCCCUCCACCACUUUCUGUGUUCUCCUGGCAAGUCUCCUUAACUGUAAAACAGGCACAUAACAGGACCUUCAAUGGACAGUUAGCCUUUAAAUUUUGAGGGAUUCCCAAAAUAGAUAGGAGACAUGAUCCCUUCCUCCCUGCAAAGGGAAAAUGUUUCCUGUCUUUUUAUCUGUGGAAGCCAGAACCCCAGGCAGCAAGUAGAUGUUGCUGAAAAUAACCACUAAUUGCUUCCUAAGAGCACUGCUGAUUCUUGAGGGAAAGGCUCGAAGAGACGUUAGACAUUAGUUGAGGCAGAGCCUAGAGUCCAGGUGGGCCAGUGGCCAGGGUCCAGUGGUGGCCAUCCAAGGAGGUAUUGGUGGUAGAGUCUAGGCUGUGCCUUUCCCUGCUUUGUUCCUUGCUUGAUCCCACUUCUCUGGGCUUCCUAUAGAUUCUUCCAAACAUCCACUUGCUGUCUGAAUUAACCAGAGAGGGUUUCUGGCCUCUGUAACAGGGAGCUAAGUCAGCACUGGGAGGUGUAGUGGUGAAGCACCGGGGCACUCUGUCAGGAAGGCCCGCUCUCUGCUGGUUCAGGGGUUGCUUCUGCAGCCGAGAACUUACUGUGCUGGAUGGUUGCCAGAUCCCUACCUCAUUUGCACUCUGCGCAUUCAUAUACCCUUAAGUGUUUAAAAAUCUGUCCCUUUGGGAUGUUCCUUCUUACAAGCAUUUAAAAAUGUUGCCUGGGACUUUUUUAGUUAACUCCAUUAAAAGACUCCUUCAGGCUGUGCCUCAAUUGGCUAAGUUAACUGGUAACAAGAAAUACUGAUUCUUUAGAGUGCUUUUAACUCCUUUUAACUUCAAGUUCAUCCUUGUUGUAUGUAUAGCAACUAUUUCUUCAGGCAAAAAACUAGCACAAUUCUUCAAAGUAUCAAAUACGAAAUUCUGUCUCCCUCUAGAUUAGCCACAGCGCCUGAGAAUACAUCCUGUUUACUUUUCAUAAACUUAACAAAGAAUUAAUCUUUGUACUUUUUUCUUGGUAUUCAAUACUAUUUGUUGAUUAAUGCAAUUUCAGAUUUCCAUUUCUCUUUGGAGAAGAGAAUGUGCUCUUAAAAUACACCAGGUCCAGUGCUGGGCACUUCUAUGCAUGCUUUUCUCAAUCCUCAUCCAAAAAACAAUAUUAGCUCAAGGUCACCCUGCUAAGAAAUAGCAGUAAAAGGAGGAUACACAGGCCUUGACUAAUUCUGAGACCCAUGUCUUUUCAUUCAUUUGAUCACAGAAUGUUCAGUGAGUAUUUAACUUGUGCUGAGGAUAGGGCUAAAUAAUGAGCAAGCACCUCUUUAUUCAAAGAGCUCACUGACUGGAAGAGGACGCAGAGCCAGUAACCGGUAACUGGCCACAUCCAUCAAUACAGUGUGAGUAAUCCAUCCAAGAAGCAGGUGGAGGAACAGGGGAGGGUCCCAUAGGAAAAGGUGGUCAAGGAAGGUUUCACAAAUGAGUGAGGGCUAUGCUGAGGCUAGAACAGAGAUGAGGGGUCAGCAGGUGGAGAAGGGACAGACGUGGUGGAUCUGUCAUCUAUUUGUCUGUCAGUCAUCUAUCUGUUAUAGACUGACUGUGUUCCUCCCCCACUCCCAAACUCAUAUGUUGAAGCUCUAACCCCUCAGUGUGGCUGUAUGUGGAGAAAGGGCCUCUAAGGAGGUAACUGGGUCAAAUGAGGUCCUAAGAGUAGGGCUCUGCUUUGAUUGGAUAAUCAGGUUUGUAGCUGGAAUGGGCCUCACAGAUCAUCUAAAAAAAUACAAAUGAAGUUAUCUACAACACAGAAAUAGACCACAGACAGAAAACUAUGGCUACCAAAGAUGAAAGGAGGGGGAGGAAUAAAUUAGGAGUUUGGGAUUAGCAUACACAUAUUACUAUAUAUAAAACAGAUAAUCAACAAGAAUGUACUGUAUAGCACAGGGAAUUAUACUCAGUAUUUUAUAAUAAACUAUAAUGGACAAGAAUCUGAAAAAGAUGUAUGUGUGUAUGCAUAUAUGUAUAACUAAAUCACUGUGCCAUGUCCUGUACAUCUGAAAUUAACAUGACAUUGUAAAUCAACUAUACUUCAAUACAAUUUUUAAAAUGAAUACAUGGUUUCACUUUACAGAUGAAGAGACUGAGGCCCAUAAACAUUAACCACUGAAGUUGUUUAGUAAUUACUGACUCACAUACAACCGGAACCCAUGUUUCCCUAACUAUUAACUCAGGGCUUUCCAGAUCACACGUGCUAAAACCUCAGAAAUGGGCCCACAGGUUACAAUCCAGGCCACACCUGUUUCCCCUGCAGAAAACAGCCUUUUCUCUCUCUGCAUAGCAGUUAGGAAGAGAAUACAUCCACUUCAAAGCUUGAUGGAAAAUGACAUUCCUUAUGCUGAAAUGCUUAUGCUGGAGAUGUUUUUACAAUAGAUAUUUUGUAUGAAUCCGUGCUUGUUUCUGAAUUUAAAAUUAGUGUAUUUAAGUCAGGGAUAAUUGUGAUUUUUACUUGUACUCCUUCUGUAGGUUUUCUUUGCAAGCACAUUUUUUUUCAGUAUGGGUAGCUGUUUUUCCUUGAAAAGAUAUUAUGAACGUCUCAUGUUUCUUAGCCUCAUAUCUUUUAACAGCAGGAUUUGCUCUUAGAAACUUUUAAUUAUUCAUUUCUUGUGUUAUUUCCUGAUUAUUAGGAGAAAAAGAAAAUAAAUUGCAUUUGCCAUAAAAUCUGCUGAACUGACCACAGGCAACUCAAGAUCUAUAAACCUUUAGUCAAAGCCUCUUAACAAUGCAAAGGAUUAGUUAGAGGGGAGAAAAAAAAUGACUGAAGGGAAAGGAAACUGGCUCUAAGGAUGCAAUAGCUCUCUCCUCCCACUCCCCACCCCCCCAACUUGUGUGCAUGCAUUUCUGAUCAGGCUGACUGCAGUGUGCCUUGGGCGUCACAUUCUCCUGGCAAUUAGUAGCAAAUAAGUAAUAUGAAGCAGUACCAUCAAGUGUUACUAAUUUUAUAGAGAUAAGCUAAAUAAAUAGACAUUAAGAAACUGAAAGCAAGUAAAGAAGAUGGUAGUUUAACGAGGAGGAAAUCCAUCAAGUACUGACCAGGGAGAAAAGGUUUGAGCUACAAAUCGAGACACAUUAAGGGAUAUUUUCCUGGACCACACCGGACCUUUGGUUAUAGCUGAACAAAUCUGUCAGAGCAGAGGGGAGCACUCCUGGCGAGACUUAAAAAGGACAACUGGCAAGGAGAAAUGAGAGCAAAUUUGCCUCUCCUGGCUCUCCACACUGGGUUGACCCCUGUGCCUUGAGUCCACACCACCUGUACUUGUUCAUGACCCCUCCCACACUCUCAAGGGAUGGUUUAAUGUCUGUCUUUCGCUGCCUGUGCUCCAAUCCUGCCUGUGCUUCUCUGCCCCUGACUUGCCUUGUGAUUUUGGCCAAGUGACAGCUUACUUUGCCUCAUCAGGCCCCCCAUCUGUAGUGUGGGGAUAAUGAAGGAACUUAUCUCAGAGGGUUUGUGUGGCAGAAACUUAGCUCCAAUGUGCACACCCGUAGCCUUAGCUUUCCCAGAUGGUUAAUGCAAUUUCUUUAUAAAGAAGCCCACCGCCUGCCUAGGUAUAAAACACCCCAAUGGUGCUCUUAGUGCUGGAGUGGGGAUGAGGAGUAAAGGGUGGGGCUCAGGGUUGGAAUCUGGCCUCUGCAGACUUUCAAGGAACCUGGCCUCCGAGCUCUUGCAGGCCAAUAAAUUGAGAGAUGAGUUGUUGGGGCAAGGAAUAGCGAUCUUAUUUGGAAAGCCAGCAGACCCAGAAGAUGGUAGUAGCGUUCUGAAGAGCCAUCGUGUGCAGACGUGGAUGGUAAGUUCUUUUAUAGCACAAAGAAGAGGAGGUGUGGAGGUAAAUAAAAAAGACAAUAAUUGUUGCAAAUAUUUCUUAGUUUCGGCCAGACUCCAGAGGGGAUAUGUUAAUUUCUUUCCUGCAGUCAGUCAUGUGUGGGCCUUGUCAGAUAUUUCCUGAGAGCUAAAUAAAGGUAUUUUAGCUUAACUUCAGGCACUAGAGGCAGGGUUUCCAGAGAUGGGCCAUUUUGUAUACUUUAAGCUAUAGGCAACAUCCCUUUAAAGAUUAAUAUGUAGCCAAAGCAACAGAAUGCAAAAUUUAAAGAAAUGGACCCAAUAUGGAAUCAUAUUUGUUUUUCCCUAUUACACUCUCACCUCAUUGCAGGCCCCUUUCUCACGCUUGUUUUGCAGCAAUAGAGAACUGAUACAUAUUCAAAGGUUUACUUGUGGUCCAGAGACUAUUGAACUAAUCGUGAGUGAUGGAAUAAAUGAAAUAGAAAACAACUUCAGGUUAGAGUACAGUUACUAGAUGGGGCCUUAAAAAUAAUCUGUGAAAUAUAAGAUCAGGCCAAAGAAUUAGUAAGUUUGAGUGUGGAAGAAAGAGGGAUGUUUCAAAUGAUUAUAAGUGGAAGUUUAAAGACAUGAACAUAGGUGGUUGUGGUGCAGUGGAAACUAAUCUGAUUAGUACCCAUGAGGAUGCGGGUUCAAUCUCUGCCCUCGCUCAGUGGGUUGGGGAUCCAGUGUUGUCAUGACCUGUGGUGUAGGUCACAGACAUGGCUCUGAUCCUGAAUCGCUGUGGCUGUGCGUAGGCCAGCAGCUGUAGCUCAGAUUUGACCCCCAGCCUGGGAACUUCCAUAUGCUGCGAGUGUAGUCCUAAAAAC